GACGGACGCUGGCGGCGUGCUUAACACAUGCAAGUCGAACGGAAAGGCCCUGCUUUUGUUGGGUGCUCGAUUGGCGAACGGGUGAGUAACACGUGAGUAACCUGCCCUUGACUUUGUGAUAACUUCAGGAAACUGGGGCUAAUACCGCAUAGGAGCUCCUGCUGCGUGGGGGGGGUUGGAAAGUUUCGGCGGUUGGGGAUGGACUCGCGGCUUAUCAGCUUGUUGGUGGGGUAGGGGCUUACCAAGGCUUUGACGGGUAGCCGGCCUGAGAGGGUGACCGGCCACAUUGGGACUGAGAUAGGGACCAGACGCCUACGGGAGGCAGCAGUGGGGAAUAUUGCACAAUGGGGGGAAGCCUGAUGCAGAAACGCCGCGUGCGGGAUGACGGCCUUCGGGUUGUAAACCGCUUUCGACUGUGACGAAGCGUGAGUGACGGUAAUGGGUAAAGAAGCACCGGCUAACUACGUG
Molecule: ribosomal RNA, 468 nt
Filed under: uncultured bacterium
Lineage: Bacteria
Description: partial 16S ribosomal RNA
Rfam family: Bacterial small subunit ribosomal RNA
Source: RNAcentral